CAGCUCCCCAGUAAUCAUACCACGUGCUGCUUAUAGGCUUGAAAACUUUGGCUGCAAGGGGAUCUUUUUCCAAAUCAAUAUCCAAAGGAUCAAUAUCAACCUCCAUCAGGUCUUGCAGCAAUUCAAGGUCAAUGUCUUUAUCUUUUUCCAAAGAUGACAGGGGUGGAGCACCUGUGAUGUCAUGUGUCAAAGGCUCAUCUAUUGUUUCCACUAACUGAACUGUGGAUGGCUGAAGAGAGUCAUCAGAAUCUCCAGCUGAAGCACCAGCAUCUUCUCCCAAAGCACCUUCUUCCAUAGCUUCAGCUGCUAUAGGUGCCAGCAAUUCUCCUGCUAGAAUAUCUUGCAGCAUACAAGUCAGAGAAUACUGAGCCCAUGCUCCUCCCCAAGAGAUGUCUCCUCUGUUAAAGUCAGUUCCAACAAGAAGGAGCAACAAUCUUUCCAACUGAGUUUCAUUUACAAUCUCACAUAAAUGAAUUGUUGGUCUUGUAGCAUUUGCAAUUCUAGCAAGAACCUUACAAACAAACAGAAGUAAAUCCGCAUGACAAGUAAAGUCCAUAGACAAAAGGAAGAGUGCCAACUUCUGCACUACAGAAAUACAACGUUCAUGUGCCAGCGUAAAGGGAAGUGGCUCAAUUUCUGGAGUUUCCUUUGUUGUUGAUACUUCUGUGUCCAAAGUAGAACGAGGCCAUUCCGCAGUUCGACGUAAACGUAUUAAAUCCUUGAAGUGCUUGGAAGUAGCCUGCUUUAGUUUUGCCUGUUCUACUAAAAGUUUGUAUGAUGAUCCUUUGUUGCUUUGUAUUUUCUCUUUUUCCAUCUGUUCCACCAAAGCCUUCUGCUUUGCUUUUAAUAAGUUAAGUUGCUGUUUAUGAUGAACAAGCUGUUUUCUGAUCUUUCGGGAAUACAGUCUAUCUAGGCUACUGUUGCCUUUAGUAGAUCUGCUCAAACUCUGAGUGUGAAGGCUAUUAUUUAUAAAACUCCAUUGGUUUCCUGUCAAAAAACGCUCCCUCUCUUUUCCAUUCAGAGGUUUCUUGGCUGUGGCUGCUUCAUCUUCAACAGUGGCUACAUAAUCCAGUAGUCUGGAUACCAGCAUUACAACCCAGCUGAUCAUAGGAAUAUCUAACACUCCUUCAGUUCUUCUGUGCACAGGUAAAUGAGGUUGCAGUGGUGACAGAAGGUUAUCCAGGAGAUUAAGUAAACUUUCUAAAACACCACUGUUGCUAAGCGAUCUUUGUCCAAUGCAAGAAAGUAACAUGAAGACCCUGUCUUGUGGGAAUAUGAGAAGUUGCUCUGAAUUGUAUAAUUCCUGCAGUACAUUUGAGAGAAACUGACCCCACCACCUUUCUCC
This 1345-nucleotide long non-coding RNA is filed under the name Gallus gallus (chicken). The record is from RNAcentral. Lineage: Eukaryota; Metazoa; Chordata; Aves; Galliformes; Phasianidae.